RNAcentral lists this ribosomal RNA (482 nucleotides) under uncultured bacterium. RNAcentral's name for it is "partial 16S ribosomal RNA". It matches the Rfam family "Bacterial small subunit ribosomal RNA", at positions 28 to 523 of the family's 1533-position model. The record is from RNAcentral.
GACGAACGCUGGCGGCGUGCUUAACACAUGCAAGUCGAACGAUGAAGCCCAGCUUGCUGGGUGGAUUAGUGGCGAACGGGUGAGUAACACGUGGGCAACCUGCCCCAAACUCUGGGAUAACUCCUCGAAAGAGGUGCUAAUACCGGAUACGAACUAGGUAGACAUCUGCACUAGUUGGAAAGUUUUUCGGUUUGGGAUGGGCCCGCGGCCUAUCAGCUUGUUGGUGAGGUAACGGCUCACCAAGGCUACGACGGGUAACCGGCCUGAGAGGGCGACCGGUCACACGGGGACUGAGACACGGCCCAGACUCCUACGGGAGGCAGCAGUGGGGAAUAUUGCGCAAUGGGCGAAAGCCUGACGCAGCGACGCCGCGUGAGGGAUGAAGGUCUUCGGAUCGUAAACCUCUUUCAGUAGGGACGAAGCGAAAGUGACGGUACCUGAAGAAGAAGCACCGGCUAACUACGUGCCAGCAGCCGCCGUAA